ACCUGCCUUCAGGAUGGGGACAACAGACGGAAACGACUGCUAAUACCGAAUAAGUUCCAAGAGCCGCAUGGCCCAUGGAAGAAAAGGGUGGCCUCUACCUGUAAGCUAUCGCCUGAAGAGGGGUUUGCGUCUGAUUAGCUGGUUGGAGGGGUAACGGCCCACCAAGGCGACGAUCAGUAGCCGGUCUGAGAGGAUGAACGGCCACACUGGAACUGAGACACGGUCCAGACUCCUACGGGAGGCAGCAUG
Molecule: ribosomal RNA, 249 nt
Filed under: uncultured bacterium
Lineage: Bacteria
Description: partial 16S ribosomal RNA
Rfam family: Bacterial small subunit ribosomal RNA
Source: RNAcentral